RNAcentral lists this ribosomal RNA (238 nucleotides) under uncultured archaeon. RNAcentral describes it as "partial 16S ribosomal RNA". It matches the Rfam family "Archaeal small subunit ribosomal RNA", at positions 587 to 824 of the family's 1478-position model. The record is from RNAcentral.
GCAUUCUAGGGACCGGGAGAGGUGAGAGGUACUCCAGGGGUAGGAGUGAAAUCCUGUAAUCCUUGGGGGACCACCGAUGGCGAAGGCAUCUCACCAGAACGGCUCCGACAGUGAGGAACGAAAGCUGGGGGAGCAAACCGGAUUAGAUACCCGGGUAGUCCCAGCUGUAAACGAUGCGCGUUAGGUGUAUCGGUGACCACGAGUUACCGAGGUGCCGAAGGGAAACCGUGAAACGCGC